UACGUAGGCAGCAAGCGUUGUUCGGAAUUACUGGGCGUAAAGAGUGUGUAGGCGGUGCUCCAAGUCUGGUGUGAAAUCUUCAGGCUCAACUUGAAGUCUGCACAAGAAACUGCCGGGCUUGAGUAUGGGAGAGGUGAGUGGAAUUUCCGGUGUAGCGGUGAAAUGCGUAGAUAUCGGAAGGAACACCUGUGGCGAAAGCGGCUCACUGGACCAUUACUGACACUGAGGCACGAAAGCUAGGGGAGCAAACAGG
Molecule: ribosomal RNA, 253 nt
Filed under: uncultured bacterium
Lineage: Bacteria
Description: partial 16S ribosomal RNA
Rfam family: Bacterial small subunit ribosomal RNA
Source: RNAcentral